GACGAACGCUGGCGGCGUGCUUAACACAUGCAAGUCGAACGAAGAGCGAUGGACGCUUGCUUCUAUCAAUCUUAGUGGCGCACGGGUGAGUAACGCGUAAUCAACCUGCCCUUCAGAGGGGGACAACAGUUGGAAACGACUGCUAAUACCGCAUACGAUCUAAUCUCGGCAUCGAGGAUAGAUGAAAGGUGGCCUCUACAUGUAAGCUAUCACUGAAGGAGGGGAUUGCGUCUGAUUAGCUAGUUGGAGGGGUAACAGCCCACCAAGGCGAUGAUCAGUAGCCGGUCUGAGAGGAUGAACGGCCACAUUGGGACUGAGACACGGCCCAGACUCCUACGGGAGGCAGCAGUGGGGAAUCUUCCGCAAUGGACGAAAGUCUGACGGAGCAACGCCGCGUGAGUGAUGACGGCCUUCGGGUUGUAAAGCUCUGUUAAUCGGGACGAAAGGCCUUCUUGCGAAUAGUGAGAAGGAUUGACGGUACCGGAAUAGAAAGCCACGGCUAACUACGUG
RNAcentral lists this ribosomal RNA (510 nucleotides) under uncultured bacterium. Its description in RNAcentral is "partial 16S ribosomal RNA". It matches the Rfam family "Bacterial small subunit ribosomal RNA", at positions 28 to 507 of the family's 1533-position model. The record is from RNAcentral.